CAAUAGCGUAUAUUAAAGUUGUUGCAGUUAAAAAGCUCGUAGUUGGAUUUCUGGACGGAGCAGCCGGUCCGCCGCUGUGCGGUGUGUACUCGUGCUUGACUCGGUUCAUCCUUGUGGGGAAGCGCAUUUCGGCAUUCAGUUGUCGAGGCGGGGAACCACAUCAUUUACUGUGAAAAAAUUAGAGUGUUUAAAGCAGGCAUUUUGCUGUGAAUACAUUAGCAUGGAAUAAUAACAUAGGACUUUGAUUCUAUUUUGUCGGUUGGAGAUCAAGGUAAUGAUUAAUAGGGAUAGUUGGGGGUAUUCAUAUUUAAUUGUCAGAGGUGAAAUUCUUGGAUUUAUGAAAGAUGAACUCAUGCGAAAGCAUUUACCAAGGAUGUUUUCAUUAA
Molecule: ribosomal RNA, 386 nt
Filed under: uncultured eukaryote
Lineage: Eukaryota
Description: partial 18S ribosomal RNA
Rfam family: Eukaryotic small subunit ribosomal RNA
Source: RNAcentral